GCGCGGUUAGCUCAGUGGUAGAGCACCUCCCUGACACGGAGGGGGUCAGAGGUUCGAAACCUCUAUCGCGCACCA
RNAcentral lists this transfer RNA (75 nucleotides) under Spartobacteria bacterium Tous-C9RFEB. Its description in RNAcentral is "tRNA-Val". It matches the Rfam family "tRNA". Rfam says of the family: Transfer RNA (tRNA) molecules are approximately 80 nucleotides in length. Their secondary structure includes four short double-helical elements and three loops (D, anti-codon, and T loops). The record is from RNAcentral. Lineage: Bacteria; Pseudomonadati; Verrucomicrobiota; Spartobacteria. RNAcentral also lists the same sequence under 1 other name.